RNAcentral lists this transfer RNA (68 nucleotides) under Marmota monax (woodchuck). Its description in RNAcentral is "tRNA.Ala". The stretch from base 3 to 63 matches the Rfam family "tRNA", at positions 6 to 65 of the family's 71-position model. Rfam says of the family: Transfer RNA (tRNA) molecules are approximately 80 nucleotides in length. Their secondary structure includes four short double-helical elements and three loops (D, anti-codon, and T loops). Further hydrogen bonds mediate the characteristic L-shaped molecular structure. tRNAs have two regions of fundamental functional importance: the anti-codon, which is responsible for specific mRNA codon recognition, and the 3' end, to which the tRNAs corresponding amino acid is attached (by aminoacyl-tRNA synthetases). tRNAs cope with the degeneracy of the genetic code in two manners: having more than one tRNA (with a specific anti-codon) for a particular amino acid; and 'wobble' base-pairing, i.e. permitting non-standard base-pairing at the 3rd anti-codon position. The record is from RNAcentral. Lineage: Eukaryota; Metazoa; Chordata; Mammalia; Rodentia; Sciuridae.
GUUGUGGCUCAAUGGUAGAGCGCUUGCCUAGCAUGCAUGAGGCACUGGGUUCAAUCCCUGGCAUUACA